UAGGGAAUCUUCGGCAAUGGACGAAAGUCUGACCGAGCAACGCCGCGUGAGUGAAGAAGGUUUUCGGAUCGUAAAACUCUGUUGUUAGAGAAGAACAAGGACGUUAGUAACUGAACGUCCCCUGACGGUAUCUAAGCAGAAAGCCACGGCUAACUACGUGCCAGCAGCCGCGGUAAUACGUAGGUGGCAAGCGUUGUCCGGAUUUAUUGGGCGUAAAGCGAGCGCAGGCGGUUUCUUAAGUCUGAUGUGAAAGCCCCCGGCUCAACCGGGGAGGGUCAUUGGAAACUGGGAGACUUGGGUGCAGAAGAGGAGAGUGGAAUUCCAUGUGUAGCGGUGAAAUGCGUAGAUAUAUGGAGAAACACCAGUGGCGAAGGCGGCUCUUUGGUCUGUAACUGACGCUGAGGCUCGAAAGCGUGGGGAGCAAACAGG
Molecule: ribosomal RNA, 429 nt
Filed under: Gemmatimonadota bacterium
Lineage: Bacteria; Pseudomonadati; Gemmatimonadota
Description: Gemmatimonadetes bacterium partial 16S ribosomal RNA
Rfam family: Bacterial small subunit ribosomal RNA
Source: RNAcentral